This is a long non-coding RNA of Medicago truncatula (barrel medic), 700 nucleotides long. RefSeq lists it as uncharacterized. The transcript is spliced from 3 exons. The record is from RefSeq and is a predicted model, not a curated record. Lineage: Eukaryota; Viridiplantae; Streptophyta; Magnoliopsida; Fabales; Fabaceae.
UUUUUGUGUUCUCUUUAACAAUACAAUCAAAGGUCUCUCUCUCUCUCUCCCUCUCCCUCCCUCCCUCCCUAUAUUGAUUUUGCAAAGAGUUCUUAUAGAAGCCUCACGCUACCUUCCCAACAAUAUUCAUUCAAAUACUAUAUAUGUUUGUAUAGCAUUAUUGAUUAUGGUGACAUGUUAUGAACGGAGUAGACAAACUAUGGCUUCAUUUUUCCAAGAUCCAUGGCGAGAUAACAAAACCAAUUUCACGGACUAUCAUGUUAGGCUCGAUCACGUGGAAUUCAUUACCAUUAUCUCAUAUUUCUGCGUCUUCUAUGAACUUUGCACCUUUGUUUGUUUUUGGAAGGAUCAACAUAAAUCUCAAACGAGUGUGAUUUCUUUGAUUAAGUAUGGGUACACUUGUCGGCACAAAACAAGAUGUUGUUGAAAAUUACCAAGAGAUGGGUUAUUUAAAUUAGGUUAAGGAUAUAAUAUUGGAGCUAAGCGUGGCGUAGAAUGAAUGGUUGCUCCUCAUGCAGAAAAUUAUACGCUGCCAUAUUAUAUCUCAGACAAUAUGUCUAUCUAAUUUGUACGCAAGUUAAUGCAGCAUAGCUAUAGAGGGAUUACUAUGACUUACUAUAACAUUUCUACUAAGUAUUUAUCUUAUAAAAGUUAUGCAUGUAUUAUGUACAAAGAAUAAUCGUAUUUUUUACUUUUUUAA